CUCCUAGAUGUUCUGGGCCGCACGCGCGCUACACUGAACAGUUCAACAAGUCUUAACCUUGGCCGAUAGGUCUGGGUAAUCUUUGAACGCUGUUCGUGAUUGGGAUAGACCUUUGCAAUUAUGGGUCUUCAACGAGGAAUUCCUAGUAAACGCAAGUCAUCAGCUUGCAUUGAUUACGUCCCUGCCCUUUGUACACACCGCCCGUCGCACCUACCGAUUGAAUGGUCCGGUGAAAUCUCGGGACGGCGGCUUGGUCGCUUGCGUCCGACUGCUGAAACUUGAUUAAACCAUAUCAUUUAGAGGAAGGUGAAGUCGUAACA
Molecule: ribosomal RNA, 320 nt
Filed under: uncultured eukaryote
Lineage: Eukaryota
Description: partial 18S ribosomal RNA
Rfam family: Eukaryotic small subunit ribosomal RNA
Source: RNAcentral